Molecule: microRNA precursor, 107 nt
Filed under: Lepisosteus oculatus (spotted gar)
Lineage: Eukaryota; Metazoa; Chordata; Actinopteri; Semionotiformes; Lepisosteidae
Description: Danio rerio miR-125b-3 stem-loop (ENSLOCG00000018513.1)
Rfam family: lin-4 microRNA precursor family (bases 20-90)
About the family: The extents of the hairpin precursors are not generally known and are estimated based on hairpin prediction. The products are thought to have regulatory roles through complementarity to mRNA.
Source: RNAcentral
GUGGAUAUUGCUGUACUUCUCCUAUUCCCUGAGACCCUAACUUGUGAGCUCUUUCAAUUAAAAUCACGGGUUAGGCUCUUGGGACCUGGGCGGAGGGCACAAGCGGC